Molecule: long non-coding RNA, 75 nt
Organism: Amblyraja radiata (thorny skate)
Lineage: Eukaryota; Metazoa; Chordata; Chondrichthyes; Rajiformes; Rajidae
Exons: 3
Source: RefSeq, a predicted model, not a curated record
CCAGCCCUUGACGAUUCUUUCAUCCUCCUUCAGUCUGUACAGUAAUAUCAAUCGGCUAAUUGUGCUACAGAUUCC